UCUGUUGUUAGGGAAGAACAAGUACCGUUCGAAUAGGGCGGUACCUUGACGGUACCUAACCAGAAAGCCACGGCUAACUACGUGCCAGCAGCCGCGGUAAUACGUAGGUGGCAAGCGUUGUCCGGAAUUAUUGGGCGUAAAGCGCGCGCAGGCGGUUUCUUAAGUCUGAUGUGAAAGCCCCCGGCUCAACCGGGGAGGGUCAUUGGAAACUGGGGAACUUGAGUGCAGAAGAGGAGAGUGGAAUUCCACGUGUAGCGGNGAAAUGCGUAGAGAUGUGGAGGAACACCAGUGGCGAAGGCGACUCUCUGGUCUGUAACUGACGCUGAGGCGC
RNAcentral lists this ribosomal RNA (331 nucleotides) under Bacillus licheniformis. RNAcentral describes it as "bacterial SSU rRNA". It matches the Rfam family "Bacterial small subunit ribosomal RNA", at positions 432 to 754 of the family's 1533-position model. The record is from RNAcentral. Lineage: Bacteria; Bacillati; Bacillota; Bacilli; Caryophanales; Bacillaceae.